UACGGGGGGGGCUAGCGUUGUUCGGAAUUACUGGGCGUAAAGGGCUCGUAGGUGGCCAACUAAGUCAGACGUGAAAUCCCUCGGCUUAACCGGGGAACUGCGUCUGAUACUGGAUGGCUUGAGUUUGGGAGAGGGACGCGGAAUUCCAGGUGUAGCGGUGAAAUGCGUAGAUAUCUGGAGGAACACCGGUGGCGAAGGCGGCAUUCUGGACUGCAACUGACACUGAGGAACGAAAGCCAGGGGAGCAAACGGG
This 253-nucleotide ribosomal RNA is filed under the name uncultured bacterium. RNAcentral describes it as "partial 16S ribosomal RNA". It matches the Rfam family "Bacterial small subunit ribosomal RNA", at positions 524 to 776 of the family's 1533-position model. The record is from RNAcentral.